RNAcentral lists this ribosomal RNA (279 nucleotides) under uncultured bacterium. RNAcentral describes it as "partial 16S ribosomal RNA". It matches the Rfam family "Bacterial small subunit ribosomal RNA", at positions 506 to 784 of the family's 1533-position model. The record is from RNAcentral.
UGCCAGCAGCCGCGGUAAUACGGAGGGGGCUAGCGUUGUUCGGAAUUACUGGGCGUAAAGCGCACGUAGGCGGACUAUUAAGUCGGGGGUGAAAUCCCGGGGCUCAACCCCGGAACUGCCUUCGAUACUGGUAGCCUGGAGGUCGAGAGGGGCGAGUGGAAUUCCGAGUGUAGAGGUGAAAUUCGUAGAUAUUCGGAGGAACACCAGUGGCGAAGGCGGCUCGCUGGCUCGAUACUGACGCUGAGGUGCGAAAGCGUGGGGAGCAAACAGGAUUAGAUA